UACGGAGGAUGCGAGCGUUAUCCGGAUUUACUGGGUGUAAAGGGAGCGUAGACGGCAGGGCAAGUCUGGAGUGAAAGCCCGGGGCCCAACCCCGGGACUGCUUUGGAAACUGUGUAACUUGAGUACAGGAGGGGCAGGCGGAAUUCCUGGUGUAGCGGUGAAAUGCGUAGAUAUCAGGAGGAACACCGGCGGCGAAGGCGGCCUGCUGGACUGAAACUGACGUUGAGGCUCGAAAGCGUGGGGAGCAAACAGG
RNAcentral lists this ribosomal RNA (253 nucleotides) under uncultured Eubacteriales bacterium. Its description in RNAcentral is "uncultured Clostridiales bacterium partial 16S ribosomal RNA". It matches the Rfam family "Bacterial small subunit ribosomal RNA", at positions 524 to 776 of the family's 1533-position model. The record is from RNAcentral. Lineage: Bacteria; Bacillati; Bacillota; Clostridia; Eubacteriales.